Molecule: ribosomal RNA, 41 nt
Filed under: Aotus nancymaae (Ma's night monkey)
Lineage: Eukaryota; Metazoa; Chordata; Mammalia; Primates; Aotidae
Source: RNAcentral
CUGAACACACCUGAUCUCCUCUGAUCUCGUGAGUUAAGCAG